ACUCUAACAAAUCUGGGUCCAAUUGCUGUAGUGUCUCCCUGGAGAUCCAUGCAAAAUCACAAUCUGGUCGACCAACCCAACGAACAAGGAAGUGUUGAACCUCUCCAUCAGUAGUGAACACAGUUUCUCCAUCUAAAAUAGCAUCAAUUUUUUCUUUGUGUGUUGUGAGAGGUGGUAGUGGGUUAGAAGGGGUCAAAGAAUCAGGGUCAAGGUCCACAAUAGGAGAAGACAGAGGAUCAUCUGAGGGAAUGAAAUGGCCUUUAUAAGCUACAAGGUCCUCAACAUUGAAAGU
This 292-nucleotide long non-coding RNA is filed under the name Olea europaea (common olive). RNAcentral describes it as "long non-coding RNA (OEUR_LNC009302)". The record is from RNAcentral. Lineage: Eukaryota; Viridiplantae; Streptophyta; Magnoliopsida; Lamiales; Oleaceae.